GUGAGUAACACGUGGGUGAUCUGCCCCAAACUUUGGGAUAAGCCUGGGAAACUGGGUCUAAUACCGAAUAUGACCUAUACUCGCAUGGGUGUUGGUGGAAAGCUCCGGCGGUUUGGGAUGGGCCCGCGGCCUAUCAGCUUGUUGGUGGGGUAAUGGCCUACCAAGGCAACGACGGGUAGCUGGUCUGAGAGGAUGAUCAGCCACACUGGGACUGAGACACGGCCCAGACUCC
This 232-nucleotide ribosomal RNA is filed under the name uncultured bacterium. RNAcentral's name for it is "partial 16S ribosomal RNA". It matches the Rfam family "Bacterial small subunit ribosomal RNA", at positions 106 to 339 of the family's 1533-position model. The record is from RNAcentral.